CGUAAGAGAUUUUGAGUUUUUGCUUGCACCGUUUGACCACUCGUCUUAUUAAAAAAAUUUGAAAUUAUUAUUUAUUUUUUUGACUUACUUUAUUAUCUAAAGUACUUUAAGCACAAAUUUUCAUUUUUUUAUAUUUGCACAAAUUUUUUAAAUAAGACGAGUAGUCAAACGGUGCAAGCAAAAACUCAACGGAGGGAGUAAC
Molecule: microRNA precursor, 202 nt
Filed under: Oryza nivara
Lineage: Eukaryota; Viridiplantae; Streptophyta; Magnoliopsida; Poales; Poaceae
Description: MIR812 microRNA precursor family
Rfam family: MIR812 microRNA precursor family
Source: Rfam by way of RNAcentral